Penaeus vannamei (Pacific white shrimp) is the source of this 1087-nucleotide non-coding RNA. The record is from RefSeq and is a predicted model, not a curated record. Lineage: Eukaryota; Metazoa; Arthropoda; Malacostraca; Decapoda; Penaeidae.
UAUUUUGUUCUCUUGUUUUGUUUUUAGAUUUACAUCGGUAUUUUAAUUUGUUUCUGGAAGUUGUUCUAAUGAAUACGUAAGUGGAAGGGAGGGGAUGAAGUUGGAUACGGUUUUUAAUGUUAUUAAUCUUGUAUGCAUUAUAUUUCUGCUGUAAUUAGUUAUUUGCAUAUCUCGUCUAGAUAUUCGUGAUAGAUUUUCCCAUCUUGUGAUUAAGAAACUGAAUUUAUAUAGGGUAUUUCAUACGUAUGUAAGGCACAAAUUGACUUCCCUCUACCAGAUGUUCGUCGGAAUUCCAUAAAGUAAAUUUGAAUGCAAAUAGAAUGCUCAUGCAAGUAAAUUAAAAGGUAAUAGGUCUUAAUUGAAAGGUAAUGAUCUCGCAAGCGAUGGAACACGGUAAAUUAGGGAAUGAAACGGUAAAUAGAUGGAAAGAAAAUCGACCACGUGGUUUUCAACUUCGGCGCAUCUGAGUUGAAAUGUGCACAUGGUGUAGAUAGUGCAAGCUGGGCCUACAAUACUGUGAGGAGGAACAGCAGUGUAGGCAUGAAGCCAGCAUAAAUCUUGAAGGGCACUUGAUCAAAGGCUCUUGAAAUGAAGAUGGAUCUGUUUGAACCUCUCCAGACUAGGAUUUUGCUUCCAGGCUGAAAUGGUGUAAUUGUGUGCACAUGUGAACUUCAAAUGAUGGCCAAAAUACCACCUUUUUAAUGCCCCUUCUGUUAUCUAAGGCACUCAAAGAUGAUUGAAAGUAAUUUGGAAGCAAUUCAGAAGUGGCUUGAAGUGUUAAGGCUCUUCAUUGCUUAGGAGAAUUUAGAUUGGGAGAUCAGUUUACAAUGUUCUUGAGAAUGUUGACCUGUUUCUGAUGCCGACUGAAUAGAUGUAUACUAAAAGAAAACGCAUCUCCAACAUGUAGUAGAUAUGGGUACCUUGUAAUGCAGAUGGACAUGAAGGCUUUAGUAUCUACAUAUCUACUCGUUAGAAAGUGUAGUUAUCAAUGUUUAUACUCCUUUAAAAUUAUAUCGAUGUAUAUCCCUUGUUAAUUGUAUUUAUAAAAAGUACUUUCUUGUAUCCUGUCAUGAAUAAAAAUGUGUUA